RNAcentral lists this long non-coding RNA (477 nucleotides) under Rattus norvegicus (Norway rat). RNAcentral describes it as "long non-coding RNA NONRATT003665". The record is from RNAcentral. Lineage: Eukaryota; Metazoa; Chordata; Mammalia; Rodentia; Muridae.
CACGGGUGUGACGUCAACAGUCACGAGGCUGUGCACUUGAAGCCUCUCAGAACUACCUAGCCAAAGGACAAAGGAAAGUCAGAGGUGGAUUCAUCAUCUUGGUACCAACACCUUGGAGAACCAGGGUGACUGACAGAGCAGAGCUGUCGUGAACCCCACUGCUUGGGCCUCACCCACCCUCUAUGUUGCUAGCUGGUUACUUCUACUGGAAGCCAUUUUUUUUUCGGUUUGUGUGUAUGUAUUAUGACUGUGCAGUUGGUGACGCGCUCUGGUGGGUCUCUUUCCCCCUGCAGCUCUCUAGACGAGACAGCUUAUGAAAGACUUGCGGAAGAGACACUGGACGCCCUGGCAGAAUUCUUUGAAGACCUUGCAGACAAGCCCUACACCCUGAAGGACUAUGAUGUCUCUUUUGGGGUACCUCUUGGCUUUGUUAUUUUCUGUUUCCUCCUUGAAAACUGUAACUUAGGCUGGAAAUGU